UUUCCGUAGGUGAACCUGCGGAAGGAUCAUUACCACAAUUAAUCAUCUUUUCUGUGAACCAUCAAUAUAAAAAAUAUUAUCGUUUUCUCGAUAAUGCAUAAUUUUUAUCAAACAUUAUGAUAAAUAAAAACAUAUCAAUCAUUCAAUAACUUUUAGCGAUGGAUGUCUAGGUUCUC
RNAcentral lists this unclassified non-coding RNA (176 nucleotides) under soil metagenome. RNAcentral describes it as "partial contains small subunit ribosomal RNA, internal transcribed spacer 1, and 5.8S ribosomal RNA". The record is from RNAcentral.